RNAcentral lists this unclassified non-coding RNA (220 nucleotides) under plant metagenome. Its description in RNAcentral is "partial contains small subunit ribosomal RNA, internal transcribed spacer 1, and 5.8S ribosomal RNA". The record is from RNAcentral.
UUUCCGUAGGUGAACCUGCGGAAGGAUCAUUACAGAGUUCAUGCCCUCACGGGUAUAUCUCCCACCCUUGAAUAUUUAUACCUUAGUUGCUUUGGCAGGCCGUGGAAACACCAUGGGCUCCGGCUUAUGCGUGCCUGCCAGAGGAAACAAACUCUGUUUUUAGUGAUGUCUGAGUACUAUAUAAUAGUUAAAACUUUCAACAACGGAUCUCUUGGUUCUG